AUACGGAGGGUGCAAGCGUUAUUCGGAAUCACUGGGCGUACAGGACGCGUAGGCGGGUUUGUAAGUCUGGUGUGAAAUCCUACAGCUUAACUGUAGAACUGCACUUGAAACUACAGACCUAGAGUAUGGGAGGGGCAGAUGGAAUUAGUGGUGUAGGGGUAAAAUCCGUAGAUAUCACUAGGAAUACCGAAAGCGAAGGCGAUCUGCUGGAACAUAACUGACGCUAAGGCGUGAAAGCGUGGGGAGCAAACAGGAUUAGAUACCCUAGUAGUCC
RNAcentral lists this ribosomal RNA (274 nucleotides) under uncultured bacterium. Its description in RNAcentral is "partial 16S ribosomal RNA". It matches the Rfam family "Bacterial small subunit ribosomal RNA", at positions 523 to 796 of the family's 1533-position model. The record is from RNAcentral.